This 468-nucleotide ribosomal RNA is filed under the name uncultured bacterium. Its description in RNAcentral is "partial 16S ribosomal RNA". It matches the Rfam family "Bacterial small subunit ribosomal RNA", at positions 28 to 507 of the family's 1533-position model. The record is from RNAcentral.
GACGAACGCUGGCGGCGUGCUUAACACAUGCAAGUCGAACGGCAAGGCCCUGCUUUUGUGGGGUGCUCGAGUGGCGAACGGGGGCGUAACACGUGAGUAACCUGCUCUUGACUUUGGGAUAACUUCAGGAAACUGGGGCUAAUACCGGAUAGGAGCUCCUGCUGCAUGGUGGGGGGUGGAAAGUCUCGGCGGUUGGGGAUGGACUCGCGGCUUAUCAGCUUGCUGGUGGGGUAGUGGCUUACCAAGGCUUUGACGGGUAGCCGGCCGGAGAGGGUGACCGGCCACAUUGGGACUGAGAUACGGCCCAGACUCCUACGGGAGGCAGCAGUGGGGAAUAUUGCACAAUGGGCGGAAGCCUGAUGCAGCAACGCCGCGUGCGGGAUGACGGCCUUCGGGUUGUAAACCGCUUUCGCCUGAGACGAAGCGGUAGUGACGGUAAUGAGUAAAGAAGCACCGGCUAACUACGUG